GAGCGGCGAACGGGUGAGUAACACGUGGGUGAUCUGCCUUGCACUCUGGGAUAAGCCUGGGAAACUGGGUCUAAUACCGGAUAUGACCAUGGGAUGCAUGUUUUGUGGUGGAAAGAUUUAUCGGUGUGAGAUGGGCCCGCGGCCUAUCAGCUUGUUGGUGGGGUAAUGGCCUACCAAGGCGACGACGGGUAGCCGACCUGAGAGGGUGACCGGCCACACUGGGACUGAGACACGGCCCAGACUCCUACGGGAGGCAGCAGUGGGGAAUAUUGCACAAUGGGCGGAAGCCUGAUGCAGCGACGCCGCGUGAGGGAUGAAGGCCUUCGGGUUGUAAACCUCUUUCAGCAGGGACGAAGCGUGAGUGACGGUACCUGCAGAAGAAGCACCGGCUAACUACGUGCCAGCAGCCGCGGUAAUACGUAGGGUGCGAGCGUUGUCCGGAAUUACUGGGCGUAAAGAGUUCGUAGGCGGUUUGUCGCGUCGUUUGUGAAAACCCGGGGCUCAACUUCGGGCUUGCAGGCGAUACGGGCAGACUUGAGUGUUUCAGGGGAGACUGGAAUUCCUGGUGUAGCGGUGAAAUGCGCAGAUAUCAGGAGGAACACCGGUGGCGAAGGCGGGUCUCUGGGAAACAACUGACGCUGAGGAACGAAAGCGUGGGUAGCAAACAGGAUUAGAUACCCUGGUAGUCCACGCCGUAAACGGUGGGCGCUA
Molecule: ribosomal RNA, 711 nt
Filed under: Rhodococcus sp. (in: high G+C Gram-positive bacteria)
Lineage: Bacteria; Bacillati; Actinomycetota; Actinomycetes; Mycobacteriales; Nocardiaceae
Description: bacterial SSU rRNA
Rfam family: Bacterial small subunit ribosomal RNA
Source: RNAcentral